This 520-nucleotide unclassified non-coding RNA is filed under the name uncultured Glomus. Its description in RNAcentral is "SSU rRNA". It matches the Rfam family "Eukaryotic small subunit ribosomal RNA", at positions 569 to 1092 of the family's 1831-position model. The record is from RNAcentral. Lineage: Eukaryota; Fungi; Glomeromycota; Glomeromycetes; Glomerales; Glomeraceae.
AGCAGCCGCGGUAAUUCCAGCUCCAAUAGCGUAUAUUAAAGUUGUUGCAGUUAAAAAGCUCGUAGUUGAAUUUCGGGAUCAAUACGUCGGUCGUGCUUCGGUACGUACUGGCGUAAUUGAUUUCUCCCUUCUGACGAACCAUGAUGUCAUUAACUUGGUGUCAUGGGAAAUCAGGACUGUUACUUUGAAAAAUUAGAGUGUUUAAAGCAGGCUCACGCUUGAAUACAUUAGCAUGGAAUAAUGAAAUAGGACGUUCGAUCCUAUUUUGUUGGUUUUUAGGAUCAACGUAAUGAUUAAUAGGGAUAGUUGGGGGCAUUAGUAUUCAAUUGUCAGAGGUGAAAUUCUUGGAUUUAUUGAAGACUAACUACUGCGAAAGCAUUUGCCAAGGAUGUUUUCAUUAAUCAAGAACGAAAGUUAGGGGAUCGAAGACGAUCAGAUACCGUCGUAGUCUUAACCAUAAACUAUGCCGACUAGGGAUCGGAUGAUGUUAAUUUUUUAAUGACUCAUUCGGCGCCUUAAC